UGACACCCUUAUGUGGCAGGAUAUGCUUCAGUGAGGCUUUGGUGCUCACUGAGUCUACCUCCUGAGUGUGUUGCU
This 75-nucleotide microRNA precursor is filed under the name Myotis davidii. RNAcentral's name for it is "mir-9229 microRNA precursor family". It matches the Rfam family "mir-9229 microRNA precursor family". The record is from Rfam by way of RNAcentral. Lineage: Eukaryota; Metazoa; Chordata; Mammalia; Chiroptera; Vespertilionidae.